GAUGAACGCUGGCGGCGUGCCUAAUACAUGCAAGUCGAGCGAACGGACGAGAAGCUUGCUUCUCUGAUGUUAGCGGCGGACGGGUGAGUAACACGUGGAUAACCUACCUAUAAGACUGGGAUAACUUCGGGAAACCGGAGCUAAUACCGGAUGAUAUUUUGAACCGCAUGGUUCAAAAGUGAAAGACGGUCUUGCUGUCACUUAUAGAUGGAUCCGCGCUGCAUUAGCUAGUUGGUAAGGUAACGGCUUACCAAGGCAACGAUGCAUAGCCGACCUGAGAGGGGGAUAGGCCACACUGGAACUGAGACACGGUCCAGACUCCUACGGGAGGCAGCAGUAGGGAAUCGUCCGCAAUGGGCGAAAGCCUGACGGAGCAACGCCGAGUGAGUGAUGAAGGUCUUCGGAUCGUAAAACUCUGUUAUUAGGGAAGAACAGAUGUGUAAGUAACUGUGCACAUCUUGACGGUACCUAAUCAGAAAGCCACGGCUAACUACGUG
RNAcentral lists this ribosomal RNA (497 nucleotides) under uncultured bacterium. RNAcentral describes it as "partial 16S ribosomal RNA". It matches the Rfam family "Bacterial small subunit ribosomal RNA", at positions 28 to 507 of the family's 1533-position model. The record is from RNAcentral.